Molecule: ribosomal RNA, 374 nt
Filed under: uncultured organism
Description: bacterial SSU rRNA
Rfam family: Bacterial small subunit ribosomal RNA
Source: RNAcentral
CGAACUGUGCAAACGUUAUUCGGAAUCACUGGGCUUAAAGGGUGCGUAGGCGGCUUGUUAAGUAGGGUGUGAAAUCCCCCGGCUCAACCGGGGAAUUGCGCCCUAAACUGGCGAGCUGGAGUGAGAUAGGGGGUGUGUGGAACUUCCAGUGGAGCGGUGAAAUGUGUUGAUAUUGGAAGGAACGCCAGUGGCGAAAGCGACACACUGGGUCUCAACUGACGCUGAGGCACGAAAGCCAGGGGAGCAAACGGGAUUAGAUACCCCGGUAGUCCUGGCCGUAAACGAUGAGCACUAGCUGGGGGGCGGUUCGUCCGUUCCCCAACGUAGCAAAAGUGUGAAGUGCUCCGCCUGGGGGAGUAGUGGUCGCAAGGCUG